GAUGAACGCUGGCGGCGUGCCUAAUACAUGCAAGUCGAGCGAACAGACGAGGAGCUUGCUCCUCUGACGUUAGCGGCUGACGUGUGAGUAACACGUGGAUAACCUACCUAUAAGACUGGGAUAACUUCGGGAAACCGGAGCUAAUACCGGAUAAUAUAUUGAACCGCAUGGUUCAAUAGUGAAAGACGGUUUUGCUUUCACUUAUAGAUGGAUCCGCGCCGCAUUAGCUAGUUGGUAAGGUAACGGCUUACCAAGGCAACGAUGCGUAGCCGACCUGAGGGGGUGAUCGGCCACACUGGAACUGAGACACGGUCCAGACUCCUACGGGAGGCAGCAGUAGGGAAUCUUCCGCAAUGGGCGAAAGCAUGACGGAGCAACGCCGCGUGAGUGAUGAAGGUCUUCGGAUCGUAAAACUCUGUUAUUAGGGAAGAACAAAUGUGUAAGUAACUAUGCACGUCUUGACGGUACCUAAUCAGAAAGCCACGGCUAACUACGUG
RNAcentral lists this ribosomal RNA (497 nucleotides) under uncultured bacterium. Its description in RNAcentral is "partial 16S ribosomal RNA". It matches the Rfam family "Bacterial small subunit ribosomal RNA", at positions 28 to 507 of the family's 1533-position model. The record is from RNAcentral.